Brachypodium distachyon (stiff brome) is the source of this 2141-nucleotide RNA transcript. It is a transcript of the gene named ethylene-responsive transcription factor RAP2-3, with no coding region annotated. The record is from RefSeq and is a predicted model, not a curated record. Lineage: Eukaryota; Viridiplantae; Streptophyta; Magnoliopsida; Poales; Poaceae. The transcript has 2 exons.
GCCGGAGCAGGAGGGUUUCGCCGCCGCGGCGCCGCCGCCUACCAGUAACACAGGACGAUAGGGAUCGCCGCCGAAACCAUGAAACCCAAAAUACCAAGCGCUACCUCCGGUCCGCUGGGAGUGGGGAGCGUCCAGCACCAGCAGCGAGGAGGCGCGAGCUCGGGCGUGAUGGCGGCGGAGCACGAGGAGGAGGCGGCCGUGGUCCGUGCCGGGACGAAGAGGAAGAGGGAGAGAAAGGCGGCUGGGGCGUCGGACCGCUCGACCAAGUUCCGCGGCGUGCGGCGGACCCGGAGCGGCAAGUACGGGGCGCAUGGCGUGGCUUGGCUCCUUCGACACCGCCGAGGAGGCCGCCAGAGCGUACGACGCGGCCGCCGUCAGGCUGCGCGGGCCGAAGGCCGUUACCAACUUCGAGCAACCCGUGGCCGUGGCUGCCAUUGCUGAUGCCGACGACGACAACGGAGAGAUGCCUGGCGAAGAGACUGACGUCGUCGGCGAUGAAGGGGAGGAUGUCUGCUCUCAGCAGCUGACGAUGCAGGCGCCGGUGACGGGGCAGGUGGGAUCCAAAGUCAUGGAGGCCUGGAUGGAGUUCCACGGUGAUCACCGGCGGCGGCAGCUGAUUCCGGUGCGGCCUGACUCCUUGGGUACCGCGGAGGAGGCCGUCAAGCUGGAUGAUGGUGUGACGGCCGAAGCCGAGUUCAAGCAACCCGUGGCUACGGCUGCUAAUGACGGCGACGGCCAGCAGCUCCAUGCCCGGCCAGAUAACACUCCCCUCCCCUCCGUAAGCUACGACAACUCCAGUGAUGAUCCGCUGCUGGCGCUCCUCACCGGCUUCUCAGAACAGCCGGCGCUCCUCAACGACUUCCUGGGACAGUCGGUGUUCCUGAACAACUUCCUGGAACAGCCGGCAUUCCUCAACAACCUCUUGGAACAGCCGGCGUUCAUCAACAACUUCCCGGAACAGCCUGCAUCCGACCUUCUUUCUGAGGACUUCCUGAACGACAUGGACUUCACCUGAGCUAUUCAAGUGGAGCAUGGCCAAGCACAUGCUGUAUAAAUCGUGGCUUAUACUUAACAACUGUGUUGGAGCCGGCUGACUGCUUCUGAAGCUUAACAAGUCUGGCUUAGCAAACAGGAGUUCUGCCUUUUCAGUUAGAGAAGAUCACAGAGUACAGCAGUUACAGCACCCUGAACACCAAGGAGAGAAAAAAGGAAAUACCGAAAUCAGCCACCACGGUGCGACUGAACACUAAACAAAAACUGCAACAUAAUCAGCGAUGAUCAGCUGCAAAAGCAUUGAAGGGUUGAUCUCUUUUUGCUGAAAAAUUCUUCUAUUUCUUUCAUUCCAAAGGUGCCAAUAUGGCUUUAUUAUGACCUGAUGAUGCAUGUGUACAAGAAUUACAACCAGAAUUUGCUUUCCUGAGCUUGGAGCUUGCUGAUUCUUCCAAUGAAGCUCAUGUGAUAUUUCAUCAGUUCAUUAUGGAUAUGAUGGGCAAUUAACAUUCUAUAUAUGCAAGAUUAAUUGGAGAGCUUCCUUCACCAGCUACAAAUAUGUGGGCACAAGUAUGAGCGCUUCAUUCAUCCGCCAUGGCAUUUGUAACAGGAACACGAGAAAAAAACUGCAAAUCAAAGGGAAACAAACUCUGCAAUGUCUCUUACAAUAUUAGGAGAAACUCCUAUAAAAUGAAAUCCUACGAAAUGUAUUAAGUUUCUUGUCUCACAUGAUCAUACCCCGUUCUUGGAUGGAAACCUCGUUUAGCUCCCGAGAUCCAGUGCUCCCUGUAAUUCAUUCUUAGACAUCUCCGUAAUCUGAAGAGUGAGAUACACAUUAUUUCUUGGGACUCGCUACUUGCACUUCGUCGUCAUCGCUUGGUGCUUCUUGUGUGUAUAUUUCAUGACAACUAUGAUAGGCACCAAACUCUAAAGAAAUUUUUGAGUUUUUCUUGUAUUGAACAGAAAGUAUUGUACUGCGGACUUAUUCAUGUCUUUACAAUUUAUUUAGGAAUCAAAAUGCCAUGUCAAAAAGUACUCCCUUUUUCUCUCCUAUUUGUGUCUUUUUAAUUCCUAUGUUCCGAAUAAGCCUUUGAUCGUUUGAAACUGUUCUACUUUUGAAAAUAUUGUAAUUUCAAUAGUAAAUUUCUAAA